RNAcentral lists this ribosomal RNA (497 nucleotides) under uncultured bacterium. Its description in RNAcentral is "partial 16S ribosomal RNA". It matches the Rfam family "Bacterial small subunit ribosomal RNA", at positions 28 to 507 of the family's 1533-position model. The record is from RNAcentral.
GAUGAACGCUGGCGGCGUGCCUAAUACAUGCAAGUCGAGCGAACGGACGAGAGGCUUGCUUCUCUGAUGUUAGCGGCGGACGGGUGAGUAACACGUGGAUAACCUACCUAUAAGACUGGGAUAACUUCGGGAAACCGGAGCUAAUACCGGAUAAUAUUUUGAACCGCAUGGUUCAAAAGUGAAAGACGGUCUUACUGUCACUUAUAGAUGGAUCCGCGCUGCAUUAGCUAGUUGGUAAGGUAACGGCUUACCAAGGCAACGAUGCAUAGCCGACCUGAGAGGGGGAUAGGCCACACUGGAACGGAGACACGGACCAGACUCCUAAGGGAGGCAGCAGUAGGGAAUCUUACGCAAUGGGCGAAAGCCUGACGGAGCAACGCCGCGUGAGUGAUGAAGGUCUUCGGAUCGUAAAACUCUGUUAUUAGGGAAGAACAUAUGUGUAAGUAACUGUGCACAUCUUGACGGUACCUAAUCAGAAAGCCACGGCUAACUACGUG